GCGGCGCUUUUGUCCCACUGCAAAUAUACCGCGGAACAAAUGUUAGCAUAAUGAAAAGUCUUAAAGUCGCAUUUAGCGACCCUUCGGCUAAGUUACGUGACGUUAGUGAGGUCGCGUUUAACGCGCUCUUUCUCCGUUAGUUCGUUCAGGUUUCUGCCGAAGCUCCGUCUGUUUGUCGCCGUGAAGCCAAACGUACUUAAACGGUUCAGGAAACACCGAGCAGACGGUUGAGCAAAUAUGUGGCCCGCGAACUGCGUGUCCAGAGUCAGAAGAGCCUGAGAAGGUGAGAGGAGACGGAGGCUCUCCACCCCUGAUGAGACACCAGGACAGAUCCAGGACAGUGUGAGGAGGAGGAGCCAGCAGCAGCUGAGAGAUGCAGAGGAGAGCAGACAGCUCUCUGUAGUUGAGGGACUGCUAAAAACACUGAAAACACUUUUAUAUUUGCUUCCUGUAUCUGCAGAAGCAUCUCCAACACAACCUGUAACAGCUGCAUACAGGAACCACUCACUGCUGUUCGUCCUGCAGGAUCUGAGAGGGAACCAAGGAAAAAUAAGGGAACCACAGACAACUUUGAUAAUGCUUUGAUUUAUCCAGAAUAUAUGUAGUUCAAAUGUUGUUUUCAUCAGUGGGAUUGUGCUGGUUUCAGUGGGGAAAGUGUGCAGCUCAUUUAGACACAAAGUUGUCCCUUCAUAAGAUAAGAUAAGAUAACCUUUAUUAGUCCCACACGUGGGAAAUUUGUAAAGUGUGUCAGUAUUUUCUAAAGAUGUUUCUGUAUCAUCUCUCUGCUGUUAGAGCCUCCAAACAUCAGCCUGCUUAUGCUCUCACAUCUGCAACAUCUGAAGUAAAUUAUGCUGCACAGUUUUGUCAUCAAUAAGAGAAGAUUUACUGCAUCAGUUUGUCUUCAUUUCAUCUGAAACACACACGGAUCAAAUCUCUGACUUUAUUUUUGGGAUAUUGCCCUUAAAUGUAACUAAAGCUUUCACACAGGGCUCGUAAAUGAUAUGAAAUAGAAAUAAAUACCUUGAA
Long non-coding RNA from Maylandia zebra (zebra mbuna), 1026 nucleotides. RefSeq lists it as uncharacterized. The record is from RefSeq and is a predicted model, not a curated record. NCBI's taxonomy places the organism in Eukaryota, Metazoa, Chordata, Actinopteri, Cichliformes, Cichlidae.